This 71-nucleotide transfer RNA is filed under the name Camelus bactrianus (Bactrian camel). It matches the Rfam family "tRNA". From Rfam's summary of the family: Transfer RNA (tRNA) molecules are approximately 80 nucleotides in length. Their secondary structure includes four short double-helical elements and three loops (D, anti-codon, and T loops). Lineage: Eukaryota; Metazoa; Chordata; Mammalia; Artiodactyla; Camelidae. The record is from Rfam by way of RNAcentral. RNAcentral also lists the same sequence under 2 other names.
GAAGGUAUAGCUCAGUGGUAGAGUGCAUUCUUAGCAUGCAAGAAGUCCUGGUUCAAUCCCUAGUACCUCCA